ACUCUGGCGGUUGGUGAGCAUCAUGGCAACCGUUACAGCCACAACCAAAGUCCCGGAGAUCCGUGAUGUAACAAGGAUUGAGCGAAUCGGUGCCCACUCCCACAUCCGGGGACUGGGGCUGGACGAUGCCUUGGAGCCUCGGCAGGCUUCGCAGGGCAUGGUGGGUCAGCUGGCGGCACGGCGGGCGGCCGGCGUGGUGCUGGAGAUGAUCCGGGAAGGGAAGAUUGCCGGGCGGGCAGUCCUUAUUGCUGGCCAGCCGGGCACGGGGAAGACGGCCAUCGCCAUGGGCAUGGCGCAGGCCCUGGGCCCUGACACGCCAUUCACAGCCAUCGCCGGCAGUGAAAUCUUCUCCCUGGAGAUGAGCAAGACCGAGGCGCUGACGCAGGCCUUCCGGCGGUCCAUCGGCGUUCGCAUCAAGGAGGAGACGGAGAUCAUCGAAGGGGAGGUGGUGGAGAUCCAGAUUGAUCGACCAGCAACAGGGACGGGCUCCAAGGUGGGCAAACUGACCCUCAAGACCACAGAGAUGGAGACCAUCUACGACCUGGGCACCAAGAUGAUUGAGUCCCUGACCAAGGACAAGGUCCAGGCCGGGGACGUGAUCACCAUCGACAAGGCGACGGGCAAGAUCUCCAAGCUGGGCCGCUCCUUCACACGCGCCCGCGACUACGACGCUAUGGGCUCCCAGGUGCGGCCGGGACUCCCGGGAUCCCCUCGCCCCCAGUACUGGGGUGUUUUCAUCUCCUCCAUCACCCCCUUGACCCAUGGGGUCUGGAUCUUCCUGUUACCCUGACUGUUUGUCCUGGUACUCCUGGGUCUUCCCUGUAACCCUAGGACAGCAGGGCCCCUCAGCCUGGCACUAUAGCUUCGCAUGGCCACAUGUGGCCUGUGGCUUCUAAGGUCCUCCGGGAGCCCCCGUGACCCUCAGCGCUCUGGAAUGUCCCUAGUCCUGACUACCUCCU
This 959-nucleotide small RNA is filed under the name Pan troglodytes (chimpanzee). Its description in RNAcentral is "retained intron". Lineage: Eukaryota; Metazoa; Chordata; Mammalia; Primates; Hominidae. The record is from RNAcentral.